GGGGCACAAGUUGUGUUUCCAUCGCCUAGAUUUCCCCAGCUCAUGGUGGAGAUGGACACAUCCAAAACUCUGAUCUGAGAUGAGUCUCCUUGGUAUCUGAAGGAUGUCCUUCCUCUCUGGGUCUAGAACUCUGGAGUGACAGCUCUUUUCUUCCAGCACCGUAAACACGUUGCUCCCUUGUCUUCUGGAGCCCAUCAUUUCUGCUGAAAAAUAAUCUUAUUGUCCCCUUGAAGGAUGGUCCCUGAAACGUAAGGGACCCGACAGCCACCACGGCGAGGAAGGCGCAGAAGGGGCAGCACGGAGCCGUGAGCCACAGAGAUGCUGCAGCCUGGACCAGCCAUCAUCAGACAGGCGUGUGCCGUCAGCGCUCAACGUGUGAGAAAGCACAGAGCCAGGCCCUUCCCAAGACCCCACUAUGAACCCGAUUGCUUCGGCCUGGCUGCCUUCCUCCAAAGGGGUGCAGGCGGGGCCCACGGGACCCCAGUUCUCUAGUCUCGCCUGACUCUAGGCAGAACUCUAGUGGCUCUGAUCUCUGGGCAGAACUGACUCAAGAGCCACUGAAGAGACCUUCGCCUGGGGUCCUAGACUGGGCUGCAAGGAGUCUUUGAAUCUCUUGAGAUUGUGCACUAAGUAUUUACCUGCACGCAUUUUUCCAGGAAGAGGGCCUGCGGCUUGCAUCAUAUCCCCACCGUGGUCUGUGACCAAGAAAGUAGUCAGCAUCUUUAGGCUAGAGGAGGCGGGAGCCCCGGAUUCCAAUCGCAGUUCUCCCUGGCUGUGUGAGCUUGAUUUGUCCUUUCUCUCUCUGAGCCCUGAUUCUGCCUCUUUUCUGCAAGGACCUUGAUCGCUGGGGGCGGCAGGGCUCUGUCUGCUGAACCCCAGAUCCCUCUGCACUUUCCCUGCUCUGCUCAGUAGCGUGGGGCACUGGCCCAGCAAAGUUCAUUUCCAGGUUCUUGUUGUGUUCUGACCCUGAGAGGCUCUGGCCGGGACUGGGAGGGUGGGAGGGUGGGAGGCCCAGGUAUCUGCCCACAUCUCUGCUUCAGGCACCAGCUCUGGCAGGGGCGGCCUCUGUAGUUCACUUCCUACAGGUGGCCCCUUCUUCCACGGGGCCCCCAAGGGGUGCGAAUCUCACCCUCCAUACACCUCUUUUUGGACCCUCUGUGUAUUAAACUCC
Molecule: long non-coding RNA, 1171 nt
Filed under: Homo sapiens (human)
Lineage: Eukaryota; Metazoa; Chordata; Mammalia; Primates; Hominidae
Description: HSALNT0355310
Source: RNAcentral